Molecule: transfer RNA, 70 nt
Filed under: Camelus bactrianus (Bactrian camel)
Lineage: Eukaryota; Metazoa; Chordata; Mammalia; Artiodactyla; Camelidae
Also listed under: 3 other names
Rfam family: tRNA
About the family: Transfer RNA (tRNA) molecules are approximately 80 nucleotides in length. Their secondary structure includes four short double-helical elements and three loops (D, anti-codon, and T loops).
Source: Rfam by way of RNAcentral
GGGUGUAUCUCAGUGGUAGAGUGCAUGCUUAGCAUGCACGAGGUCCUGGGUUCAAUCCCCAGUACCUCCA